CUCCAUGGAUCCCCCUGGCGAAAGCUGGGCACGUUUUCAGUCUUCAUGGCAGUGCCCUCUGUGUUCCCAGUCACAACAGGAGUCAGGCUGGGCUAUUAUUUUAUAGGAAAUCUGAGAACCAGGCCAGCUAAAUGGCCAGGUUUUGGAAGUUGUGGUGUUAUAUGAGUGAGGGAUAAAGUAGUGUUCGGGGUUCUCUUGUUACAGCGGACAGCAUCAGAAAGCCUGAGAGUGUCAAAGCCCAUCUCGCUGAGCUCAGGCUAGGCUCAAACUGGUGAUCCUCCUGCCUAAGCCUCCCAGAGUGCUGGGAUUACAGGCAUCCACCAAACCUGGCUUUUUUUGUGAACACUGCAGAGUCAAACCCAGGGUUUAAGCAUGCUAAAUGAGGCUCAGUGAGAGAAAAAGAGCCACGCAGAAAACCUGUGGUACAGCU
Molecule: long non-coding RNA, 430 nt
Organism: Heterocephalus glaber (naked mole-rat)
Lineage: Eukaryota; Metazoa; Chordata; Mammalia; Rodentia; Bathyergidae
Source: Ensembl